This 497-nucleotide ribosomal RNA is filed under the name uncultured bacterium. Its description in RNAcentral is "partial 16S ribosomal RNA". It matches the Rfam family "Bacterial small subunit ribosomal RNA", at positions 28 to 507 of the family's 1533-position model. The record is from RNAcentral.
GAUGAACGCUGGCGGCGUGCCUAAUACAUGCAAGUCGAGCGAACAGACGAGGAGCUUGCUCCUCUGAUGUUAGCGGCGGACGGGUGAGUAACACGUGGAUAACCUACCUAUAAGACUGGGAUAACUUCGGGAAACCGGAGCUAAUACCGGAUAACAUGUUGAACCGCAUGGUUCAACAGUGAAAGACGGUCUUGCUGUCACUUAUAGAUGGAUCCGCGCCGCAUUAGCUAGUUGGUAAGGUAACGGCUUACCAAGGCAACGAUGCGUAGCCGACCUGAGAGGGUGAUCGGCCACACUGGACCUGAGCCACGGUCCAGCCUCCUACGGGAGGCAGCAGUAGGGAAUCUUCCGCAAUGGGCGAAAGCCUGACGGAGCAACGCCGCGUGAGUGAAGAAGGUCUUCGGAUCGUAAAACUCUGUUAUUAGGGAAGAACAAAUGUGUAAGUAACUAUGCACGUCUUGACGGUACCUAAUCAGAAAGCCACGGCUAACUACGUG